RNAcentral lists this transfer RNA (73 nucleotides) under Anolis sagrei (brown anole). RNAcentral's name for it is "tRNA-Asx". The record is from RNAcentral. Lineage: Eukaryota; Metazoa; Chordata; Lepidosauria; Squamata; Anolidae.
AUGAAUGGGCGGGCCUUGAUCCCACAAAAAAUUAAUUAACAGCUAAUUACCUAAACCAGCGGGCUUCCAUUCG